UGAAACCGUUCGGGGGUAAACGGACAGAGCCCGUGAAUCUGGACGGCGGAAUUCAGAAUCGUGAGCGGGACGAGUGCGCGUGCGUGCUCGUUACGGCGCGGUUUGAUAUUUCCGUCGUCGUGUGCGUGUACACCACGUACUACACACGGACGUCGCGAUCCGUUCGACGUCGGUCGUUACCUGGCUAACGGAGGAGUCGCGAUCGAGUUUGCGGCGGGUAGUGUGUGCGCGACGUCGCCGUUGUUGUGCGCGCUGCUCGCGGCAAAGUCGCGGACCUUACUCUGGCCGACUCGUCGGACGGUAUGCGUAUGUUGGGUGAGCGGCGUGAACACACUGGAGUCACGUCGCGACCGAUCGGCGACGAUUUCUUCGGGCCU
RNAcentral lists this ribosomal RNA (377 nucleotides) under Callococcus pulchellus. RNAcentral describes it as "partial large subunit ribosomal RNA". Lineage: Eukaryota; Metazoa; Arthropoda; Insecta; Hemiptera; Eriococcidae. The record is from RNAcentral.